This 611-nucleotide ribosomal RNA is filed under the name Plantibacter cousiniae (nom. nud.). Its description in RNAcentral is "bacterial SSU rRNA". It matches the Rfam family "Bacterial small subunit ribosomal RNA", at positions 59 to 688 of the family's 1533-position model. Lineage: Bacteria; Bacillati; Actinomycetota; Actinomycetes; Micrococcales; Microbacteriaceae. The record is from RNAcentral.
CAGUCGACGAUGAAGCCCAGCUUGCUGGGUGGAUUAGUGGCGAACGGGUGAGUAACACGUGAGUAACCUGCCCUUGACUCUGGGAUAAGCGUUGGAAACGACGUCUAAUACCGGAUACGAUCUUCCACCGCAUGGUGAGUUGCUGGAAAGAAUUUUGGUCAAGGAUGGACUCGCGGCCUAUCAGCUUGUUGGUGAGGUAAUGGCUCACCAAGGCGACGACGGGUAGCCGGCCUGAGAGGGUGACCGGCCACACUGGGACUGAGACACGGCCCAGACUCCUACGGGAGGCAGCAGUGGGGAAUAUUGCACAAUGGGCGAAAGCCUGAUGCAGCAACGCCGCGUGAGGGACGACGGCCUUCGGGUUGUAAACCUCUUUUAGCAGGGAAGAAGCGAAAGUGACGGUACCUGCAGAAAAAGCACCGGCUAACUACGUGCCAGCAGCCGCGGUAAUACGUAGGGUGCAAGCGUUGUCCGGAAUUAUUGGGCGUAAAGAGCUCGUAGGCGGUUUGUCCGUCUGCUGUGAAAUCCCGAGGCUCAACCUCGGGUCUGCAGUGGGUACGGGCAGACUGAGUGCGGUAGGGAGAUUGGAAUUCCUGGUGUGCGGUAAAUGG